This 264-nucleotide long non-coding RNA is filed under the name Homo sapiens (human). RNAcentral's name for it is "HSALNT0085678". The record is from RNAcentral. Lineage: Eukaryota; Metazoa; Chordata; Mammalia; Primates; Hominidae.
GCACAGUCACUUCACUUUCGUUUACUAGGAUUCCCUCGCGAUCCGCAGCAGAGUUCCUCACACUGCGCACCACCCGCGGGGUCUGUCCCACAGACCUUGGCUGAUGGAUGAAAUGAGUACUCAAAGACACAGGGGGAGGCAUUGCAGAGAGACCCCUUUCAAAGCACACAGGAAGUGGCUGAAGUCAAUAAAGAAACAGAAGAACAAUUUGAAUGAAGAUGGAUCAAAAAGAAGACAGACAUUUCUAAAAAGCCAUCUUUAAAU